CGUCUAUAUACGUAUAGCAUAUCAAUAAGCGGAGGAAAAGAAACUAACUAGGAUUCCCUCAGUAACGGCGAGUGAAGCGGGAAGAGCUCAAAUUUGAAAUCUUCAAGGUUUUACCUUGACGAAUUGUAGUUUAAAGAAGUGUUUUCUGUUGAAGUUCGGUAAAAGUUCUUUGGAAUAGGACAUCAUAGAGGGUGAGAAUCCCGUAUUUGACCAUUAUUUCCAGCUUUGUGAUACACUUUCAGAGAGUCGGAUUGUUUGGGAAUGCAGUCCAAAAUGGGUGGUAAAUUUCAUCUAAAGCUAAAUAUUGGCGAGAGACCGAUAGCGAACAAGUACCGUGAGGGAAAGAUGAAAAGAACUUUGAAAAGAGAGUUAAACAGUACGUGAAAUUGUCAAAAGGGAAGCGUUUGACACCAGUGUUGUUUUCUCGAAAAUCAAUUAAAAAUGGCCUGAUUUUGUGUUGUAAGGGACUUUAUCAGCGUUUCUGCACUCUUUUCUUGUCCUUUUUAAUGCACUUUUCGUUUAACAAGUCAACAUCAAUUUAAUCUUUUGUUGUAAAAGGGUCAUUGGAAGGUGGCUUUCUUUUCGGAGAAAGUGUUUAUAGCCUUUGGCCUCUGCAAUCGGAGAGAUUGAGGUCUGCAGCGUAGAUCCUUCGGGGUUAGAUACAUUUGUGCUAAGUUAUAGCCUUUCAUAGACAACUUGUUGACUAUGAUCAGUCAUGUAGCUUACUCGCUUAUGCUAUUUUACCUACGCUUAGGAUGUUGAAGUCAUCGUAUCGCGC
RNAcentral lists this ribosomal RNA (778 nucleotides) under uncultured Neocallimastigales. RNAcentral's name for it is "partial large subunit ribosomal RNA". It matches the Rfam family "Eukaryotic large subunit ribosomal RNA", at positions 26 to 645 of the family's 3401-position model. The record is from RNAcentral. Lineage: Eukaryota; Fungi; Neocallimastigomycota; Neocallimastigomycetes; Neocallimastigales.